UAUCAAUAAGCGGAGGAAAAGAAACUAACCAGGAUUCCCCUAGUAACGGCGAGUGAACAGGGAUUAGCCCAGCACCGAAGCCUGCGUCCGUUUGGGCGUUGGGCAAUGUGGUGUUUAGGUUGAUGCGUUGGUGUGUCACUUCGUUCCAAGUCCAAUAAUGAAUAUGGCUUUAGCAUGGCCCAGAGAGGGUGAAAGGCCCGUGUGGACGGAGUGAUGCUCUACUGCGUUGACUUUGGAGUCGGGUUGUUUGAGAAUGCAGCCCAAAGUUGGUGGUAAACUCCAUCUAAGGCUAAAUACUGGCACGAGUCCGAUAGCGAACAAGUACCGUGAGGGAAAGUUGAAAAGUACUCUGAAGAGAGAGUUAACAGUGCGUGAAACCGCUUAGAGGCAAACGGGUGUAGUCAAGCUGCAAGCCCAUUGAAAUAGGAGGGUCAGAAUGGCGUGAGUCUGAGCACAUAGAGCUGGCACCGGGGUGCGUCCGUUUGGGCGUGUUCGUUCCGCAAGGUUCGGAUCUGUGAGGUGACAUUCGUCGCUGCAGGCUCCGGCGUCAGUUGCUCUGCUGGCCCUUUCACUUUCUUUGGGCGUAUGUCACGACCGUCGUUGCUGUCGGUCUGCUCCGUCUAAACCGCAUCAUGAGUAGUCUUGUGCUUCUCGUGGUGUGGAGGCAGGUAGCCGGGCCGGCUUUUGUCGGACUGGUGUUAUUGCUGGGCGGAGUGGUACCUGUAACUGUGCAGUGCGGCGGGGCUGGCGGUGCAUUGGUAUCUGGGCGUGCUAAAGUGAUCUGGCGUGACGUGGGUCUGGCUGCUUGUUGCUAUCUUUGAUGGCCUUGUGGCGGCUCUGUUGCGGUUUGGGUUGCGGCAGCGUCUGGGCAUUCUUUGCGUUGAGCCAAUAGUCUGUGGCGUAGUGGUAGACGAUCCACCCGA
RNAcentral lists this ribosomal RNA (923 nucleotides) under Choricotyle australiensis. Its description in RNAcentral is "partial large subunit ribosomal RNA". It matches the Rfam family "Eukaryotic large subunit ribosomal RNA", at positions 41 to 647 of the family's 3401-position model. The record is from RNAcentral. Lineage: Eukaryota; Metazoa; Platyhelminthes; Monogenea; Mazocraeidea; Diclidophoridae.